This is a non-coding RNA of Pelobates cultripes (western spadefoot toad), 219 nucleotides long. Lineage: Eukaryota; Metazoa; Chordata; Amphibia; Anura; Pelobatidae. The record is from the annotation of a GenBank genome assembly.
AAUUUAUUUUAAUUUUAUUUUCAGCCAGCAGGGGGACCACCUGUCAUUACAGGCAGCCCCCCUGCUGGCAAUACAGAAGCUAGCUAUCCCCGGCCAUGUGAUUGUGGGGUCCUCGCUAGGACCCCACUCUCACACGGCCGGGGGGCUUCCUGGAGGACGGACGUGCCGCGGGGGGCUCCCUGGGAGUCCCCCCCACCACGAUCGCCGGCGGUCCCACGG